This 247-nucleotide ribosomal RNA is filed under the name Halolamina salifodinae. RNAcentral describes it as "Archaeal small subunit ribosomal RNA". It matches the Rfam family "Archaeal small subunit ribosomal RNA", at positions 1 to 249 of the family's 1478-position model. The record is from Rfam by way of RNAcentral. Lineage: Archaea; Methanobacteriati; Methanobacteriota; Halobacteria; Halobacteriales; Haloferacaceae.
AUUCCGGUUGAUCCUGCCGGAGGUCAUUGCUAUCGGGGUUCGAUUUAGCCAUGCUAGUCGCGCGAGUUUAGACUCGCGGCGUAUAGCUCAGUAACACGUGGCCAAACUACCCUACAGACGAGAACAACCUCGGGAAACUGAGGCUAACACUCGAUACGCGUUGGCUGUUUGAAGACGCCGACGCUCAAACGCUCCGGCGCUGUAGGAUGUGGCUGCGGCCGAUUAGGUAGAUGGUGGGGUAACGGCC